Molecule: ribosomal RNA, 357 nt
Filed under: Pitho mirabilis
Lineage: Eukaryota; Metazoa; Arthropoda; Malacostraca; Decapoda; Mithracidae
Description: partial 12S ribosomal RNA
Source: RNAcentral
UACUAUACUAAAUUUUAAAAUUAACUUGAAUAUUAUUAGAUAUAAUCUCUAAAUUCAAAGAAUUUGGCGGUAAUUUAGUCUAUCCAGAGGAACCUGUUUCUUAAUCGAUAAUCCGCGAAGAAUCUUACUUAUUUUGUUUAUUAGUUUGUAUACCGUCAUUAUCAGAUAAUAUCUAGAAAUUAAUUAUUUAGUUUUAAAUAAUAAACAAAAUUAGAUCAAGGUGCAGCUUAUAAAUAAGUUGAAAUGGGUUACAAUUAAUUAAAUGUAAAACGGAAUAGAAAAUGAAAUAAAGCUUUAGAAGGAGGAUUUGGUUGUAAUUUAAAUUAAUAUGAUAAAAAGAUAUUAGCUCUAAGUUAU